UUGCGGUUAAAAAGCUCGUAGUUGGAUUUCUGUUGAGGUCGGGCGGUGUGCACCUCGUGCAUUAUUUGCUUCGGUCUCGGCAUCCUCUUGGGGAACGUCUCAGGACUUUAUUGGACUGGGCGAGAUUCAAGACUUUUACUUUGAGGAAAUUAGAGUGUUCACGGCAGGCAAGUGCUUUGAAUACAUUAGCAUGGAAUAAUAAUAUAGGACCUUCGUUCUAUUUUGUUGGUUUCUAGAACUUAGGUAAUGAUUAAUAGGGACAAUUGGGGGCAUUCGUAUUAACGCGUCAGAGGUGGAAUUCUUGGAUUGCGUUACGACGAACUACUGCGAAAGCAUUUGCCAAAGAUGUUUUCAUUGAUCAAGAACGAAAGUAUGGGGAUCGAAGACGCUUAGAUACCGUCGUAGUCUAUACCAUAAACUAUGCCAACUAGAGAUCGGUGGGGUUAUCCUAUGUGGCUCCAUCGGCAUCUUAUGAGAAAUCAAAGUUUUUGGGUUCCGGAGGGAGUAUGGUCGCAAGGCUGAAACUUAAAGGAAUUGACGGAAGGGCACCACCA
RNAcentral lists this ribosomal RNA (554 nucleotides) under uncultured marine eukaryote. RNAcentral describes it as "SSU rRNA". It matches the Rfam family "Eukaryotic small subunit ribosomal RNA", at positions 613 to 1172 of the family's 1831-position model. The record is from RNAcentral.